RNAcentral lists this long non-coding RNA (746 nucleotides) under Homo sapiens (human). RNAcentral describes it as "non-protein coding lnc-DICER1-5:1". Lineage: Eukaryota; Metazoa; Chordata; Mammalia; Primates; Hominidae. The record is from RNAcentral.
AGAAAGUUCACUAUUUGUAGCACCAGGAAGUGUUCAAUCCUCAGAUGACCUAGAAGAAGACAGUAGCGACUACAGCAUUCCUUCCAGGACUAGUCACAGUGACUCCAGCAUUUACCUUCGACGACAUACUCAUAGGUCUUCGGAAUCGGUUAGUAUGUGAAUUUCUUCUCUUUCCGCACGGCCCCUGCUAAUCAAUUCCUUUCCAUCCUUCCUCCUCCCCAGCCCAGAGCUUUGAAAUUACUGGCAUGCAACAGCUAUACUUUUGGAUAGAAGACAAGCAGAUUGGAACCUUAUCAUUAAGCACAGUCCGAUCGGAUAUCCGGUUUGGGCAAUAAGAGAUGUAAAUAAAGUGAGGAUUUUAAAGCCCAAAGGCCUCCUUGCUAUAAAAACGCACCCAAAACGCCUCACCUGGACCCCGCGCGCACCCAGAAGGAUCACGUUCAGAGACAGAGGUGCAACAUGAGUCAAGGAUCAUUUUAGCUAUGUUCAGUUGAGGAACGCAGCAGAUCUGGAUGACAGAAGAAACCGAAUAUUAACCAGGAAGGCCAACAGCUCAGGAGAAGCCAUGUCACUGGGGAGCCACAGCCCGCAGAGUGACUCCCUGACACAGCUUGUCCAGCAGCCGGAUAUGAUGUAUUUUAUUCUCUUCCUGUGGCUCCUGGUGUACUGCUUGCUGCUCUUCCCACAACUGGAUGUUAGCAGGCUCUGAUACGUGUGUCUGGAUAAUAAAAAAGACAGGACCCUGA